AUGAAGCAGUGCUUACACCAAGCCAAGAACAUUUCAGCUUCUCACUCUGUCCUGUGGAAACUGGGAAGAAAGAAGAGACGAUUAAGGAUGUUUCUGCAGAUAUCACCUGUUCCGUAUGGAGAAGUUAGAUACAAUACAGUCCUGGUGUAUAUGCCUGUGUCUGUGUGGAGAAAGGAGGAGAGCACUGAAAGAAAGGAAACCUGAAAAAAGCCCCACAAGAUCACUCAGCUUGGAAGAGAAAUCGAGUCUACUGCUCAUUGACUAAACGGAACAUGACCAUCUCCAUCAAGCAUCUGGAUUUCAAGUACUGUCUACAUAAGUAUCCAUAUUCAUAGCCAUAUUAUUGGAAAUACAUUCCAUUUUGAGUUUUAUUCUAGAGAAGGACAUCAUCGCUCAUUCUAUGUGAAGUCUACACUUCUACUCUAUUGCUUUGACCCGUGGAGGACAAGACAAAAGAUCUCCAAAAAAUAAGAAAGAUGUAGAAACAUACUAAUAGGUCUGAACUUGGGCUAGAAUUGCUCAGAAAAUAAGUUCAGUGUAGGUUUCUGUAUGAAUGUUUUGCCCAGAACUUCACUGAAAUUUUGUAAACCUGGACAUAGACCAAAUAGUUCUAAUUUUGCCUGUUUCAGUAUGAAGAGCCUUAUGGCUUAAUGAUGAUCUCCAAGAGUUACAAUGGCUUAAUUGAAUAUCAAAAUAAUAACAUGAACUCUUUAAAACAUUUUACCUCUAAUCUUGUUGUAGCUAUGAUGCUUUUGGCUCAAGUAGUGUAAGAGAUUCAUGCCAUCACAGGGAUUAGGCUUGAGAAAAUUUUUAGAGGACAAAGCUGAUAGUGCUGAAAUAUCACCCACAUAAAAAUGCCUUCAGCUACCUUCUGCAAGUACUUCUCUAACACUUCGCAGUUCAGACUGACUUCAUCAGGUAGAAUGAAACAACUUGUCAACAUAAUGGUCAUGAGCAAAAUUCUGUUUUAGGUGUUCAUAUUCUGCAGUGGUCAAAAUGAGAUUCUAAAGUGACUGUGUAAAACCAUAGAGACCCAAGAGUUUAGCCAUUACUUGUCACCAACUCCACCCUAAAAGUCUUGUGGACAGUAUUCAUAACAUUAAAGUCCGGGAGCCUGAAAUCAAUAGGAUUUGGGUUCAGGCCUAUGAACAGGGGCUCAACCCAUUUCUGAAAGUUAAGAUCUGACACCCACUUCUAUUUCCCUUCCCUCCAUCCCUUCGAUUACCAAGUCAUACAAAUCAAUCCUCUAAACAGUGGUACCCUACUUGCUGAUAUGACACUACUAGUGCUUUCAUGACAACAUCAGUUAUCAAGAGCUAGCUGCUUGUGAACAGAAGGUGCUUGACUAUAAAGCUGUGAGAUAACAACUGGAACUGAAAUCAGAAUAAGCAAAAUAUAUUGACUGUGUCAGCAAAACGUCUUUUUUGUUUAAGGAAUAUCUUAUGUCUGCCAAACUUAAAAUGAAACGUAUGACAUAUUUCAUCCUUUUCUCUCACAGUAAUAAGUAAAGCACAUUUAGCAAAAUGGCGGGCAUGACUGAACAAAUAAUAAAUAAUAAUGAUGAUGCCUGCA
RNAcentral lists this long non-coding RNA (1572 nucleotides) under Anas platyrhynchos platyrhynchos (common mallard). Its description in RNAcentral is "lncRNA (ENSAPLG00000018989.1)". Lineage: Eukaryota; Metazoa; Chordata; Aves; Anseriformes; Anatidae. The record is from RNAcentral.